CACGCCGUAAACGAUGAGCGCUAGGUGUUGGGGGUAUUGACCCCCCCAGUACCGCAGCUAACGCGUUAAGCGCUCCGCCUGGGGAGUACGGCCGCAAGGCUAAAACUCAAAGGAAUUGACGGGGGCCCGCACAAGCGGUGGAGCAUGUGGUUUAAUUCGACGCAACGCGCAAAACCUUACCUGGGUUAAAUCCGCCGGAACCUGUCUGAAAGGAUGGGGUGCCCUUCGGGGAAUCGGUGAGAAGGUGC
RNAcentral lists this ribosomal RNA (248 nucleotides) under uncultured bacterium. Its description in RNAcentral is "partial 16S ribosomal RNA". It matches the Rfam family "Bacterial small subunit ribosomal RNA", at positions 796 to 1041 of the family's 1533-position model. The record is from RNAcentral.